This 451-nucleotide ribosomal RNA is filed under the name uncultured bacterium. Its description in RNAcentral is "partial 16S ribosomal RNA". It matches the Rfam family "Bacterial small subunit ribosomal RNA", at positions 354 to 796 of the family's 1533-position model. The record is from RNAcentral.
GUGAGGAAUAUUGCGCAAUGGGGGCAACCCUGACGCAGCAACGCCGCGUGAGUGAGGAAGGUUUUCGGACCGUAAAGCUCUGUCGAGCGGGAAGAAAUGCAUGGUGGCUAAUAUCCAUCAUGCUUGACGGUACCGCUAAAGGAAGCACCGGCUAACUCCGUGCCAGCAGCCGCGGUAAUACGGGGGGUGCGAGCGUUGUUCGGAAUUAUUGGGCGUAAAGAGCGUGUAGGCGGCCGAAUAAGUCAGAGGUGAAAUCCCUGGGCUUAACCCAGGACGUGCAUUUGAAACUAUUCGGCUAGAGUAGGGGAGAGGAAAGUGGAAUUCCUGGUGUAGAGGUGAAAUUCGUAGAUAUCAGGAGGAACACCGGUGGCGAAGGCGACUUUCUGGCCCUAUACUGACGCUGAGACGCGAGAGCGUGGGUAGCAAACAGGAUUAGAAACCCUUGUAGUCC